UUCACUCCAACCCCUGUGACAUACCUAUACGUUGCCUCGGCGGAUCAGCCCGCGCCCCGUAAAAAGGGACGGCCCGCCCGAGGACCCCUAAACUCUGUUUUUAGUGGAACUUCUGAGUAAAACAAACAAAUAAAUCAAAACUUUCAACAACGGAUCUCUUGGUUCUGGCAUCGAUGAAGAACGCAGCAAAAUGCGAUAAGUAAUGUGAAUUGCAGAAUUCAGUGAAUCAUCGAAUCUUUGAACGCACAUUGCGCCCGCCAGUAUUCUGGCGGGCAUGCCUGUUCGAGCGUCAUUUCAACCCUCAAGCUCAGCUUGGUGUUGGGACUCGCGGUAACCCGCGUUCCCCAAAUCGAUUGGCGGUCACGUCGAGCUUCCAUAGCGUAGUAAUCAUACACCUCGUUACUGGUAAUCGUCGCGGCCACGCCGUAAAACCCCAACUUCUGAAUGUUGACCUCGGAUCAGGUAGGAAUACCCGCUGAACUUAAGCAUAUCAAUAAGCGGAGGA
Molecule: ribosomal RNA, 505 nt
Filed under: Fusarium chlamydosporum
Lineage: Eukaryota; Fungi; Ascomycota; Sordariomycetes; Hypocreales; Nectriaceae
Description: eukaryotic LSU rRNA
Rfam family: 5.8S ribosomal RNA (bases 139-292)
Source: RNAcentral